UCCCUGGUAGUAUAUCGGUUAGUACACGCGCCUGUCACGCGCGAAAGCGGGGUUCGACUCCCCGCCAGGGAG
Molecule: transfer RNA, 72 nt
Filed under: Phlebia radiata
Lineage: Eukaryota; Fungi; Basidiomycota; Agaricomycetes; Polyporales; Meruliaceae
Also listed under: 21 other names
Description: tRNA-Asp
Rfam family: tRNA
About the family: Transfer RNA (tRNA) molecules are approximately 80 nucleotides in length. Their secondary structure includes four short double-helical elements and three loops (D, anti-codon, and T loops).
Source: RNAcentral